UACGUAGGUGGCAAGCGUUGUCCGGAAUUAUUGGGCGUAAAGCGCGCGCAGGCGGUCCUUUAAGUCUGAUGUGAAAGCCCACGGCUCAACCGUGGAGGGUCAUUGGAAACUGGAGGACUUUGAGUGCAGAAAGAGAAGAGUGGAAUUCCACGUGUAGCGGUGAAAUGCGUAGAGAUGUGGAGGAACACCAGUGGCGAAGGCGACUCUUUGGUCUGUAACUGACGCUGAGGCGCGAAAAGCGUGGGGGAGCAAACAGG
This 257-nucleotide ribosomal RNA is filed under the name uncultured bacterium. RNAcentral's name for it is "partial 16S ribosomal RNA". It matches the Rfam family "Bacterial small subunit ribosomal RNA", at positions 524 to 776 of the family's 1533-position model. The record is from RNAcentral.